Molecule: long non-coding RNA, 2249 nt
Filed under: Lathyrus oleraceus (garden pea)
Lineage: Eukaryota; Viridiplantae; Streptophyta; Magnoliopsida; Fabales; Fabaceae
Description: Pisum sativum (pea) long non-coding RNA (PSAT_LNC036410)
Rfam family: tRNA (bases 636-707)
Source: RNAcentral
AUGGUAUAUACGAUCCAGAUGAUAUAUAUGAGACUAAUAUAAAGGAUAUAUGUGAGAGAUAUAGUGAGAUAUAUCCUAGAAAUAGAGAGAAGAGUACUUUUGUUCCAAUAGAUUAUAGCGAUCCCAAUUGUAUGGAAAAAUUAGCUCGUUUGUGGGUUCAAUGCGAAACUUGCUAUGGACUCAAUUUUAAGCAAUUUUUCCGACCCAAAAUGAAUAUUUGCGAACACUGUGGCGAGCAUUUGAAAAUGAGCAGUUCAGAUAGAAUCGACCUUUCGAUUGACCGAGAUACUUGGAAUCCUAUGGAUGAAGACAUGGUUUCUGUGGAUCCCAUUAAAUUUGAUUCGAUUAAAGAAUUGGGUUCGGAAGAGGAAUCUUCGAAAGAUCGUCUGGAUGAAGACAUGCUUUCUCCAGAUCCCAUUGAAUUGGAUUCGGAAGAAGAAUCUUCGAAAGAUCGUGUGGAUUCGGAAGAGGAAAAAGACCAAUCUUAUAUCGAUCGUCUUGAUUCUUAUCAAGAAAAGACAGGAUUACCGGAGACGGAUUUAUAUUCACAAUGAAAUAUAAAAGUAUAAUACAAAAAAUAAAGGUUUAUUUUAUUUUCUAUUUAUAUUACAAUAGAUAAUAUAUAGAAUAGAAAAUGGGGCGUGGCCAAGCGGUAAGGCGGCGGGGUUUGGUCCCGUGAUUCGGAGGUUCGAAUCCUUCCGUCCCAGGUGAAACCGAUUGAUGAUAUCACCAGUUUUCUUCAUGAAGGCAUAAAAAGGCUUCUUAUACGUUUCUAGGGGAGGGGAUAUAUUGUUAAUCUAAAGUUGCUCAACCUACAUAUUAGGAAAAAGUCAAUAAAUAAAGUUUAUCGAUAAAUACCGUAGACCCUAUAAGCUUUUUUACUUAUUUUCAAUUAGUAUAUUUAGAAAAUAUACUAAUUGAAAAUCAAACAAUGAUUAUGAUUAUGCUAUUCUAUUCAUCUAUAAUAUUUUCAUUCAUCUAUCAUAUUUUCAUGUAAAUGGAGGAAAAAAAGAAAAAUCUAUGCAAAGAAAGUGGUUCAAUUCAAUGAUCUUUAAUCAUUCAUCUAUCAUAUUUUCAUGUAAAUGGAGGAAAAAAAGAAAAAUCUAUGCAAAGAAAGUGGUUCAAUUCAAUGAUCUUUAAUAGGGGUUUAGAAUACAGGUGUGGUUUAAGUAAAUCAAUAGAGGGUUUUGGUCCUAUUGAAAAUAACGGUGUAAAUUAUAAAUGAUAAAUGAUAAAUGAAGACCCAUCUAGUUUAACUGAUAUGGAUAAUAACAUUGAUAGCUGGAAGAACAAUAGUGAAAAUUCUAGUUAUGGUCAUGCUGAUUCUUUAGCAGAUGUCAGCAACAUAGAUAAUUUACUAUCUGAUAAAAUUUUUUCAAUUAGGGAUAGUAAUAGCAAUAUAUAUGACAUAUAUUAUGCUUAUGAUACUAAUGAUACUAAUAAUACUAAAUAUAAAUGGACUAAUAACAUUAAUCGUUGCAUUGAGAGUUAUCUUCGUUCUCAAAUCUGUGAGGAUAUUGACUUUAAUAGUGACAUUUGCGAUAAGGUCCAAAGGACUAUUAUAAUUUUAAUAAGGAGCACAAAUGAUACAAAUGAUAUAUCAGAUACAAAUGAUAUAUCAGAUACAAAUGAUACAAAUGAUACAAAUGCGAUAUAUGAUCCAUUUGAUAUAUCCGAUACAAAUGAUACAAAUGAGAUAUACGAUCCAUUUUUUAUAUUAGAUAUAAAUGAUACAAAUGAUACAAAUGAUAUAUAUGGUAUAUACGAUCCAGAUGAUAUAUAUGAGACUAAUAUAAAGGAUAUAUGUGAGAGAUAUAGUGAGAUAUAUCCUAGAAAUAGAGAGAAGAGUACUUUUGUUCCAAUGGAUUAUAGCGAUCCCAAUUGUAUGGAAAAAUUAGCUCGUUUAUGGGUUCAAUGCGAAACUUGCUAUGGACUCAAUUUUAAGCAAUUUUUCCGACCCAAAAUGAAUAUUUGCGAACACUGUGGCGAGCAUUCGAAAAUGAGCAGUUCAGAUAGAAUCGACCUUUCGAUUGAUCGAGAUACUUGGAAUCCUAUGGAUGAAGACAUGGUUUCUGUGGAUCCCAUUAAAUUUGAUUCGAUUAAAGAAUUGGGUUCGGAAGAGAAAUCUUCGAAAGAUCGUCUGGAUGAAGACAUGCUUUCUCCGGAUCCCAUUGAAUUGGAUUCGGAAGAAGAAUCUUCGAAAGAUCGUGUGGAUUCGGAAGAGGAAAAAGACCAAUCUUAUAUCGAUC